GGGUGGCGGCGGCAGCGGAGAGGGCCAGACGGGGAGGAGGUCGAGGGCCCCGGCGGCGGCGGCGGCGACGGGCCGGUGGUGAGCUACCGCCGCGGCCGGUACAAGGGAGGGAUCUUCAGCAUGCACCCCAACAAGCCCAUCGUGUGCUAGCAGAGGCAGAGCGCAGCAUUUGUGAAUGAAUAGGGAAAAUCAUCGCCGUUUCUGACGCAUACAUAAGUGCCGUUGCAUAUACAGUUUGUCAUAUAAUAAACCUCGAGGAAAACAGUGAAUUUAGUCGUGUUUGUACAGGAGUUACGCGCUUUGGUUAGGGAAAAACAUACGGCGUCUUUGAAAGAAUGAAUUCGCCUACGAGAUUUGGCUGUUUUGGACUUACUAUGAUUGGAUAUGAUUCCGGACGCAUCAUCCAAACAUGCAGUAUAAGGUUAGUCUCAACGUGAAGUUUCAUGACAUUAAAUUUAAUACCACAUCAACAAAAAUUAGUGACUUGGCUAGGUAAUUAAUAGAGGGAGUUUCAUCAGAUAUUCACAUGAGAGGGGAGUUUCAUUCCCAUGACAAUCAUUUGGCACAAUUAUCUAAUUCUCAAUUUAGGUAACUGUAUAAUAAAACUGUACACUGAGACUGACCAAAGUGAAGUGAAAAUAAAAGGAUCAAAAAUAGAAAUCAAAGAAACAUUCCUAGCAAAAAAAAAUCAAAGAAACAUUCCGUGCAACCAAAAAAAUCAAAGAAACAAAGUUGACACCGAACCAAGUACAAUGGUUGUUGUCCUCUACUGACAAUCUCAUAUAUUUACACACCAAAUUUUAAAUUUUCCGCUGUACCUGCCAUUAUAUACCGCUAUAGCUAUUUGAGGUAGGAUAGCGUUAUUUGUGCUCAUGUAUAAUUUAGCCGCUAUAACUUACUAUAGCCUCAUUAAGCUCUGUUAUUAGUUGUUUUAGAAUCCAAUACUGCUAAUCCCCUUAUCCCGUUAUUUAAAACAUUGUUUACACAUAAUAUUAAGAUAACUUAAUAAAUAACCUAUACAAUAGUUGUCUUUUAAGUUGCCCUAUAAUAACUUUAUAAUUACUUAAUUUGUGUAUAAAAAAUUAUAAGUUGCACAAUCACAACUUGAAAAUUAUGUGAUCUCCAAGGAUGAAAUCACGUUCAUUGUGCCUGGUGCACUGGCACAGGUUUUCAAACAUUUUUUUGCACUAUCCUCGGUACUGAAAUUCACCUCUUGUGCACUACCUAGAGGGGGCUCGUAUCUAGCUUGUGGAAGCUAGUUAAUUCACACAACUUCAAAACCCAUUAGACCCAAAUUAGAAUACGAAUUCAACAUUUUAAUAUACCAAAUUCAACAUUAGUUUAAAAUCAGAUCAAUUAACAUCUAAAAAUUAAGUAUUGUCAGUCAACAUUUGUAAAAGACAUAUCACAUUCAACAUUUUUCAAAAAAGAUUUUAACAUUCUUGAAAGAACAUAUUCAAUAGUUGUAUAAAUCUAAAUCAAUAUUUUUUUAUUCGCUCAUGUGCUUCUUCCCUUGUGAUGGUGGCGGCGCACAGCGAGUGUGCCAUGCGCGGCAGUGGACGUGGCGGACAUGGCGAGGCUAACAGGGG
RNAcentral lists this long non-coding RNA (1589 nucleotides) under Setaria italica (foxtail millet). Its description in RNAcentral is "long non-coding RNA (SITA_LNC002555)". The record is from RNAcentral. Lineage: Eukaryota; Viridiplantae; Streptophyta; Magnoliopsida; Poales; Poaceae.